RNAcentral lists this ribosomal RNA (535 nucleotides) under Bathippus cf. directus Suyang. Its description in RNAcentral is "partial 16S ribosomal RNA". The stretch from base 148 to 440 matches the Rfam family "Archaeal large subunit ribosomal RNA", at positions 2154 to 2717 of the family's 2987-position model. The record is from RNAcentral. Lineage: Eukaryota; Metazoa; Arthropoda; Arachnida; Araneae; Salticidae.
UGAUUAUUAAAUAGCCGCAAUUAGUGCUAAGGUAGCAUAAUCAUUUGYCUUUUAAAUGAAGACCAGAACAAAAGAUUUAACAUUUUAAUUUAUUUAUUUAAAUAUUUAAUUAAAUUUACCUAAAAAGUAAAAAGGCUUUUCUAAAAAAGAAAGACGACAAGACCCUAUCGAACUUAACUUAAGUUUAACUGGGGUAGUAAAUUAAUUAUUAUUUUAUAAUUAAACUAUUAUUCAAAUAUCCUUAAAUUGAUAAUCCAGUUACCGUAGGGAUAACAGCGCAAUUAAAUUUUAAAGUUCUCAUUUAAAAUAUAGAUUACGACCUCGAUGUUGAAUUAAUAACCUAUUUCAAGCAAAUUUCAAAAAAGGAAGUCUGUUCGACUUUUAAUAAAUUACAUGAUUUGAGUUCAGACCGGUAUAAGCCAGGUCGGUUUCAAUCUUCUAAAAACUCUUUUACAGUACGAAAGGACCUAAAAAUAUAAUUUAAUUAACUAAUUGGCAGAUUAAUGCAUUAGAAUUAGAAUCUAAUUAAAAUUAU